RNAcentral lists this ribosomal RNA (120 nucleotides) under Pogona vitticeps (central bearded dragon). The record is from RNAcentral. Lineage: Eukaryota; Metazoa; Chordata; Lepidosauria; Squamata; Agamidae.
CUCCACCAUGUCCCUUUGAAUGUGACUGAUUUUGUCUGAUUUUGGAAGCUAAGCAGAGUCAGGCCUGGUCAAUACUUGGAUGGGUGGCCCUGCGGAAGUAUCUCCAGGUAGGGCUGGAAA